RNAcentral lists this ribosomal RNA (276 nucleotides) under uncultured Agrobacterium sp. Its description in RNAcentral is "partial 16S ribosomal RNA". It matches the Rfam family "Bacterial small subunit ribosomal RNA", at positions 29 to 334 of the family's 1533-position model. The record is from RNAcentral. Lineage: Bacteria; Pseudomonadati; Pseudomonadota; Alphaproteobacteria; Hyphomicrobiales; Rhizobiaceae.
AACGAACGCUGGCGGCAGGCUUAACACAUGCAAGUCGAACGCCCCGCAAGGGGAGUGGCAGACGGGUGAGUAACGCGUGGGAACAUACCCUUUCCUGCGGAAUAGCUCCGGGAAACUGGAAUUAAUACCGCAUACGCCCUACGGGGGAAAGAUUUAUCGGGGAAGGAUUGGCCCGCGUUGGAUUAGCUAGUUGGUGGGGUAAAGGCCUACCAAGGCGACGAUCCAUAGCUGGUCUGAGAGGAUGAUCAGCCACAUUGGGACUGAGACACGGCCCAA